CCUACGGGGGGCUGCAGUGGGGAAUCUUAGACAAUGGGGGAAACCCUGAUCUAGCCAUGCCGCGUGGACGAUGAAGGCCCUAGGGUUGUAAAGUCCUUUCAGCUGGGAAGAUAAUGACGGUACCAGCAGAAGAAGCCCCGGCUAACUCCGUGCCAGCAGCCGCGGUAAUACGGAGGGGGCUAGCGUUGUUCGGAAUUACUGGGCGUAAAGCGCGCGUAGGCGGACUUUUAAGUCGGGGGUGAAAUCCCGGGGCUCAACCCCGGAACUGCCUUCGA
This 275-nucleotide ribosomal RNA is filed under the name uncultured bacterium. RNAcentral's name for it is "partial 16S ribosomal RNA". It matches the Rfam family "Bacterial small subunit ribosomal RNA", at positions 338 to 630 of the family's 1533-position model. The record is from RNAcentral.